GCAGAAGUGAGAAUAGUCCAUAUCUUUUUUUCUUAAUCUCAUGUCUCAUCCGCUUAUCAAAAAGGAAGGAAUCCUAUGUCUCAUCCAAUAAUAUAAUUUCUGGGAAGACAUGGCCUGAUUGGCUGUGUCUGUUAAAAUUCUAAUUACAAAGGCUUAGAGGUUGGCAACACAUCACAUGUGGGCCUCUAAUGUUAUAAAUUUCAACAAGAAGCCUAGCACUAUUUUCUAGUUUAUGCCACACUACAAUGUACUCUCAUUUUUGUUGGGUUUGAAAUGGCAG
Molecule: unclassified non-coding RNA, 280 nt
Filed under: Hevea brasiliensis (rubber tree)
Lineage: Eukaryota; Viridiplantae; Streptophyta; Magnoliopsida; Malpighiales; Euphorbiaceae
Source: RNAcentral